This 508-nucleotide ribosomal RNA is filed under the name Glomus sp. Glo11. RNAcentral describes it as "SSU rRNA". It matches the Rfam family "Eukaryotic small subunit ribosomal RNA", at positions 569 to 1078 of the family's 1831-position model. Lineage: Eukaryota; Fungi; Glomeromycota; Glomeromycetes; Glomerales; Glomeraceae. The record is from RNAcentral.
AGCAGCCGCGGUAAUUCCAGCUCCAAUAGCGUAUAUUAAAGUUGUUGCAGUUAAAAGGCUCGUANUUGAAUUUCGGGGUCAGCAGGUUGGUCGUGCCUAUGGUAUGAACUGGCUUCGCUGGUCUCUCCUUUCUGAAGAACUGUAAUGCCAUUAAUUUGGUGUUGCAGGGACACAGGACUGUUACUUUGAAAAAAUUAGAGUGUUUAAAGCAGGCUAACGCUUGAAUACAUUAGCAUGGAAUAAUGAAAUAGGACGUUCGAACCUAUUUUGUUGGUUUCUAGGAUUGACGUAAUGAUUAAUAGGGAUAGUUGGGGGCAUUAGUAUUCAAUUGUCAGAGGUGAAAUUCUUGGAUUUAUUGAAGACUGACUACUGCGAAAGCAUUUGCCAAGGAUGUUUUCAUUAAUCAAGAACGAAAGUUAGGGGAUCGAAGACGAUCAGAUACCGUCGUAGUCUUAACCAUAAACUAUGCCGACUAGGGAUCGGAUGAUGUUAAUUUUUUAAUGACUCA